CGCGUAGGCGGGAUAUUAAGUCUGAGGUGAAAGUUUGCGGCUUAACCGUAAAAUUGCCUUGGAUACUGGUAUUCUUGAGUUCGGAAGAGGGAAGUGGAAUUCCUGGUGUAGCGGUGAAAUGCGUAGAUAUCAGGAAGAACACCGGUGGCGAAGGCGGCUUCCUGGUCCGAUACUGACGCUGAUGCGCGAAAGCGUGGGGAGCAAACA
Molecule: ribosomal RNA, 207 nt
Filed under: uncultured bacterium
Lineage: Bacteria
Description: partial 16S ribosomal RNA
Rfam family: Bacterial small subunit ribosomal RNA
Source: RNAcentral